RNAcentral lists this ribosomal RNA (749 nucleotides) under uncultured archaeon. RNAcentral's name for it is "bacterial SSU rRNA". It matches the Rfam family "Archaeal small subunit ribosomal RNA", at positions 53 to 779 of the family's 1478-position model. The record is from RNAcentral.
GCAGUCGUGCGCUUCCAGCUAUGUUGGAAACGCGGCAUACGGCUCCGUAACACGUAGUUAACCUACCCUCAGGACGGGGAUAACCACGGGAAACUGUGGCUAAUACCUGAUAGGUGAUAACGCCUGGAAUGGUCUAUCGCCUAAAUGGCUUCGGGAACAUGCUCUCGAUGCUGCCUGAGGAUGGGACUGCAGCCGAUCAGGUUGUUGGUAGGGUAAUGGCCUACCAAGCCUAUAACCGGUACGGGCCCUGAGAGGGGGAGCCCGGAGAUGGGAACUGAGACAAGGUCCCAGGCCCUACGGGGCGCAGCAGGCGCGGAAACUCCACAAUGCACGAAAGUGUGAUGGGGUUAUCCCGAGUGCCGUCCGAUGAGGAUGGCUUUUCCUUGGUUUAAGGAGCCGAGGGAAUAAGAGGGGGGCAAGACUGGUGUCAGCCGCCGCGGUAAUACCAGCUCCUCGAGUGGUAGGGAUGAUUAUUUGGCCUAAAGCGUUCGUAGCCGGCUUGGUAAGUCCCUUGUGAAGUCCAUCGAUUCAAUCGUUGGGCGUGCAAGGGAUACUGCCAGGCUUGAGGACGGGAGAGGUCGAUGGUACUCCUAGGGUAGGGGUGAAAUCCUAUAAUCCUAGGAGGACCACCAGUGGCGAAGGCGGUCGACUAGAACGUGCCUGACGGUGAUGGACGAAAGCUGGGGGAGCGAACCGGAUUAGAUACCCGGGUAGUCCCAGCCGUAAACGAUGCGGGCUAGGUGUUGGAG